UGGUUAAGGUAAUUACGUUUGGUUUAGUCCCACACGGAAAGAUUAACAAGAUUCCCUCGGUAACGAGGAGUAUAUAACUAGAGGAGUCCGGCCUUUGAACAUACUUACCUGGACGGGGUUUAUGGGUGAUCAAAAAGGCUCAUGACCUAGAUUAAUGGCUCACAUUGCACAUAGUGAAUGUGUUGAUCUACCAUCUCCUUUGGGAGAGUGGACGUCAAAAUUUAUGUUAGAGGGGUAUGCGUUCGCGCGGCCCCUGC
Molecule: small RNA, 257 nt
Filed under: Triticum aestivum (bread wheat)
Lineage: Eukaryota; Viridiplantae; Streptophyta; Magnoliopsida; Poales; Poaceae
Rfam family: U1 spliceosomal RNA (bases 101-256)
About the family: U1 is a small nuclear RNA (snRNA) component of the spliceosome (involved in pre-mRNA splicing).
Source: RNAcentral